Molecule: ribosomal RNA, 430 nt
Filed under: uncultured bacterium
Lineage: Bacteria
Description: bacterial SSU rRNA
Rfam family: Bacterial small subunit ribosomal RNA
Source: RNAcentral
AACGAACGCUGGCGGCAGGCCUAACACAUGCAAGUCGAGCGAACCCUUCGGGGUUAGCGGCGGACGGGUUAGUAACGCGUGGGAAUAUACCCUUUGGUACGGAAUAGCCUCGGGAAACUGAGAGUAAUACCGUAUGUGCCCUUCGGGGAAGAUUAUCGCCAAAGGAUUAGCCCGCGUUGGAUUAGAUAGUUGGUGGGGUAAUGGCCUACCAAGUCUACGAUCCAUAGCUGGUUUGAGAGGAUGAUCAGCAACACUGGGACUGAGACACGGCCCAGACUCCUACGGGAGGCAGCAGUGGGGAAUCUUAGACAAUGGGCGCAAGCCUGAUCUAGCCAUGCCGCGUGGACGAUGAAGGCCUUAGGGUUGUAAAGUCCUUUCAGAUGGGAAGAUAAUGACGGUACCAUCAGAAGAAGCCCCGGCUAACUCCGUG